UGGGGAAUAUUGGACAAUGGGCGAAAGCCUGAUCCAGCCAUGCCGCGUGUGUGAAGAAGGUCUUCGGAUUGUAAAGCACUUUAAGUUGGGAGGAAGGGCAGUAAGCGAAUACCUUGCUGUUUUGACGUUACCGACAGAAUAAGCACCGGCUAACUCUGUGCCAGCAGCCGCGGUAAUACAGAGGGUGCAAGCGUUAAUCGGAAUUACUGGGCGUAAAGCGCGCGUAGGUGGUUCGUUAAGUUGAAUGUGAAAGCCCCGGGCUCAACCUGGGAACUGCAUCCAAAACUGGCGAGCUAGAGUAGGGCAGAGGGUGGUGGAAUUUCCUGUGUAGCGGUGAAAUGCGUAGAUAUAGGAAGGAACACCAGUGGCGAAGGCGACCACCUGGGCUCAUACUGACACUGAGGUGCGAAAGCGUGGGGAGGAAACAGG
Molecule: ribosomal RNA, 429 nt
Filed under: Pseudomonadota bacterium
Lineage: Bacteria; Pseudomonadati; Pseudomonadota
Description: Proteobacteria bacterium partial 16S ribosomal RNA
Rfam family: Bacterial small subunit ribosomal RNA
Source: RNAcentral